UACGAAGGGGGCUAGCGUUGCUAGGAAUCACUGGGCGUAAAGCGCACGUAGGCGGCUUCUUAAGUCAGGGGUGAAAUCCUGGAGCUCAACUCCAGAACUGCCUCUGAUACUGAGGAGCUUGAGUCCGAGAGAGGUGAGUGGAACUCCGAGUGUAGAGGUGAAAUUCGUAGAUAUUCGGAAGAACACCAGUGGCUAAGGCGGCUCACUGGCCCGGUACUGACGCUGAGGUGCGAAAGCGUGGGGAGCAAACAGG
RNAcentral lists this ribosomal RNA (253 nucleotides) under uncultured bacterium. RNAcentral describes it as "partial 16S ribosomal RNA". It matches the Rfam family "Bacterial small subunit ribosomal RNA", at positions 524 to 776 of the family's 1533-position model. The record is from RNAcentral.